UCGUCACACUAUCAUUAACUGAAUCCAUAGGUUAAUGAGGCGAACCGGGGGAACUGAAACAUCUAAGUACCCCGAGGAAAAGAAAUCAACCGAGAUUCCCCCAGUAGCGGCGAGCGAACGGGGAGGAGCCCAGAGCCUGAAUCAGCAUGUGUGUUAGUGGAAGCGUCUGGAAAGGCGCGCGAUACAGGGUGAGAGCCCCGUACACAAAAGCGCACGUGCUGUGAGCUCGAUGAGUAGGGCGGGACACGUGGUAUCCUGUCUGAAUAUGGGGGGACCAUCCUCCAAGGCUAAAUACUCCUGACUGACCGAUAGUGAACCAGUACCGUGAGGGAAAGGCGAAAAGAACCCCGGCGAGGGGAGUGAAACAGAACCUGAAACCGUGUACGUACAAGCAGUGGGAGCCCCACCACCAAAGCGUUUCGCUUUGCGUGGUGCGCAAAAUGCGUAACGACAGCACGAUUGCGGUUAACGGAGCGUAAGCGACGUUCAACACAAAAAUCAGGCAGUGGAGCGUUUUGGGGUGGGGUGACUGCGUACCUUUUGUAUAAUGGGUCAGCGACUUAUAUUCUGUAGCAAGGUUAACCGCAUAGGGGAGCCGGAGGGAAACCGAGUCUUAAU
This 618-nucleotide ribosomal RNA is filed under the name Salmonella enterica. Its description in RNAcentral is "bacterial LSU rRNA". It matches the Rfam family "Bacterial large subunit ribosomal RNA", at positions 140 to 688 of the family's 2925-position model. The record is from RNAcentral. Lineage: Bacteria; Pseudomonadati; Pseudomonadota; Gammaproteobacteria; Enterobacterales; Enterobacteriaceae. RNAcentral also lists the same sequence under 1 other name.